CCUCUGUUGUGUCCAGACACCUACGGGUGGCAGCAGUCGAGAAUUUUUCUCAAUGGGGGAAACCCUGAAGGAGCGACGCCGCGUGGAGGAUGAAGGCCUUCGGGUCGUAAACUCCUGUCAUUUGGGAACAAAACUUUCACUUAACUGGUGAGAGCUUGAUAGUACUAGAAGAGGAAGAGACGGCUAACUCUGUGCCAGCAGCCGCGGUAAUACAGAGGUCUCAACCGUUGUUCGGAUUCAUUGGGCGUAAAGGGUGCGUAGGCGGUCGCGUAAGUCGGAUGUGAAAUCCCGGGGCUCAACCCCGGAACUGCAUUCGAUACUGCGUGGCUAGGGUACUGGAGAGGAGACUGGAAUUUACGGUGUAGCAGUGAAAUGCGUAGAUAUCGUAAGGAAGACCAGUGGCGAAGGCGAGUCUCUGGACAGUUACCGACGCUGAGGCACGAAGGCCAGGGGAGCAAACGGGAUUAGAUACCCCGGUAGUCCUGGCAGUAAACGGUGUACGUUUGGUGUAGGCGGAUUCGACCCCGCCUGUGCCGGAGCUAACGCGUUAAACGUACCGCCUGGGAAGUACGGUCGCAAGAUUAAAACUCAAAGAAAUUGACGGGGGCCCGCACAAGCGGUGGAGUAUGUGGCUUAAUUCGAUCCACGCGAAGAACCUUACCAGGGUUUGACAUGCACUGUGUCCUCGGUGAAAGCCGGGUAGCUAUAGCAAUAUAGCGCUUUGCACAGGUGCUGCAUGGCUGUCGUCAGCUCGUGUCGUGAGAUGUUGGGUUAAGUCCCGCAACGAGCGCAACCCCUGUGUCCUGUUGCUACUGCCUUCGGGCAGGCACUCUGGACAGACUGCCCUGUGAAACGGGGAGGAAGGUGGGGAUGACGUCAAGUCAGCAUGGCCCUUACACCCUGGGCUGCACACGUACUACAAUGCUCAGUACAAUACGAGCCGAAACCGCGAGGUGGAGGAAAUCUCAAAAACUGAGCCCAAUUCGGAUCGCAGGCUGCAACUCGCCUGCGUGAAGCCGGAAUCGCUAGUAAUGGCGCAUCAGCUGCGGCGCCGUGAAUACGUUCCCGGGCCUUGUACACACCGCCCGUCACAUCAUGGGAGUCACUUGCACCCGAAGUGCGCUUUGCGCCCUACGGUAUGAGUGGUAACUGGGAUGAAGUCGUAACAAGGUAGCCGUAGGGGAACCUGCGGCUG
This 1195-nucleotide ribosomal RNA is filed under the name metagenome. Its description in RNAcentral is "bacterial SSU rRNA". It matches the Rfam family "Bacterial small subunit ribosomal RNA", at positions 318 to 1520 of the family's 1533-position model. The record is from RNAcentral.